ACGUACACUCCUACGGGAGGCAGCAGUGAGGAAUAUUGGACAAUGGGUGGAAGCCUGAUCCAGCCAUCCCGCGUGCAGGAAGACGGCCCUAUGGGUUGUAAACUGCUUUUAUCUGGGGAUAAACCUACUUACGUGUAAGUAGCUGAAGGUACCAGAAGAAUAAGCACCGGCUAACUCCGUGCCAGCAGCCGCGGUAAUACGGAGGGUGCAAGCGUUAUCCGGAUUUAUUGGGUUUAAAGGGUCCGUAGGCGGACUGAUAAGUCAGUGGUGAAAUCCGACAGCUUAACUGUCGAACUGCCAUUGAUACUGUUAGUCUUGAGUAAGGUUGAAGUGGCUGGAAUAAGUAGUGUAGCGGUGAAAUGCAUAGAUAUUACUUAGAACACCAAUUGCGAAGGCAGGUCACUAAGUCUUAACUGACGCUGAUGGACGAAAGCGUGGGGAGCGAACAGGAUUAGAAACCCGAGUAGUCCCGU
This 473-nucleotide ribosomal RNA is filed under the name uncultured organism. RNAcentral's name for it is "partial 16S ribosomal RNA". It matches the Rfam family "Bacterial small subunit ribosomal RNA", at positions 329 to 800 of the family's 1533-position model. The record is from RNAcentral.